UGGUGGAGUGAUUUGUCUGGUUAAUUCCGAUAACGAACGAGACUCUUACCUGCUAAAUAGUCACCACGUGCAUUUAAUGGUUGCGUGGAUUUGACUUCUUAGAGGGAUUCGUCACUCUCCAAGUGGCACGAAACUAGAGCAAUAACA
This 147-nucleotide ribosomal RNA is filed under the name uncultured eukaryote. RNAcentral describes it as "partial 18S ribosomal RNA". It matches the Rfam family "Eukaryotic small subunit ribosomal RNA", at positions 1299 to 1458 of the family's 1831-position model. The record is from RNAcentral.